RNAcentral lists this unclassified non-coding RNA (576 nucleotides) under Bombus terrestris (buff-tailed bumblebee). Its description in RNAcentral is "misc RNA ENSBTSG00005023194.1". Lineage: Eukaryota; Metazoa; Arthropoda; Insecta; Hymenoptera; Apidae. The record is from RNAcentral.
AAACAUGACUUACCAAUUUACUAUCAGAUUGAGAUUGUAAGUGCUGAUGAAGAAGAAUUGCGAUCUAUUAUAAAAAUCUAUGGCUUCUUGAGGAAGAUCGGGAAUCUUCGCAAUUAUCAUAUAACGAAUCUCUCUCAAGGCAGUUUUUAAAGCAAAGUCGAAAUUCGUUUCCAGCUGUUGAUCCUCUCUAACGUUUAAAAGAGUUUUCGUUAAGUGGGUUUCCCAAAUUUCUGGCAAUUUCUCCGCCCAAGCGUACGUGUUCCAUUUUGUCAUUAAUUAAAGGAUGGUCGAUUAAUUUCAUGCACUCAAUUGGCAGAAGAGUUCUUUUACGAAGUCUCAUUAAAAAACACAGGGAUGCACUCACUACAGGUAAAUGCGAAUUCAGUGUCGAAAGCUCGUUGUCUUUUCCGGAAUUAAAAUUCUUGUCGAAUAACACCUACAAGACAAAAUGCUUAUCACUGAAAUGUUGAUCUACUCUUUGAAUUAUUUCUUCAUAAUUGUGCCAUAACUGGGCCAUUAUUAUAGGUCUGUUGGCAGUUACGCCCAUUAUCCAAACGAACUUAAAGAACGACUCUA